This 225-nucleotide long non-coding RNA is filed under the name Gallus gallus (chicken). Lineage: Eukaryota; Metazoa; Chordata; Aves; Galliformes; Phasianidae. The record is from RNAcentral.
GAAAAGCCAUGGCAAAGCCAGGUGCCCUUGUGGAGAAGUCCUCUGACAGGAUGAAUCAUGAUCUGGGAGAAUUAAUAGCUGUAGACGGCGUCAGAUUGAAAGGUAGCAGCAAUUCCCAGUGGCGGCUUCCCAGAGCAGAGGGAACACCUCAGUGGAUAGUUCAUUUGUUAUUCAGCAUCUGGGAUUCUUUUCAGUGUCUCCAAUUACUGGUCUGAUCCAAUUCCC